Myotis lucifugus (little brown bat) is the source of this 124-nucleotide ribosomal RNA. The record is from Ensembl. NCBI's taxonomy places the organism in Eukaryota, Metazoa, Chordata, Mammalia, Chiroptera, Vespertilionidae.
GUCUGCUUCAAUAUCAUACUGCUUUAAAUAUGCUGACUUUACAUCUGAUCUCGGAAGCUAAGCAGGGUCGGGCCUGGUUAGUACUUGGAUGGAGACCGCCUGGGAAUACCGGGUGCUGUAGGCU